This is a long non-coding RNA of Dromaius novaehollandiae (emu), 9243 nucleotides long. RefSeq lists it as uncharacterized. Lineage: Eukaryota; Metazoa; Chordata; Aves; Casuariiformes; Dromaiidae. The record is from RefSeq and is a predicted model, not a curated record. The transcript is spliced from 3 exons.
UCAGCCCAUGAUUGUUUCUACUGAUAAUGCCAACACUGAAGAGAGAUCCCUCCAGUCCUCCUUUCCACUUCACAGACAUGCCUUUCUUCCAGCACAGGCAGGAGCGAUGCAUUGCCAGCUACUGCUGUUGCUGUCCCCUCUCCUCCAGACGACAGGAAUGGGAGCCCUGCCUGAUCUUCACUUGCUGUCUGCUGAGUCCUGAAGACCCCAUGAGUCACCUCCCUAAAGAGGCGCUCUGCAGAUCAGGCUUCAUGAAAAUACAUGGAGGCCACCUGAGCAGUUGAACAGGCUCAGCAAAACACUGUGAAGAUCCAAAGAGAAGAAAGACAAGAAAGGUUUUUGCAAGGCUGAAAAAUGUAAAUGUAAAAUGUAAAAAACUCUGAAUUGGGAAAAAACACAACACAGUGAUCUUCUUUGCUUAACAGUCACUUUUCAAAGUUCACUGCUGCACAACUGGGCAUUUUUGGAGCAGCGCCAGAGCUCCCUUUCUUCCAGGAGCUGUGAGAACAUAGCUGAAGCACACUUCUGGGGCUCUGCAUGGCUCCCAAGUUCUUGAAGCUACCCAUGGAAAUGGCUGACCAUAAAGCCUCUCUGUUCAUCUAAUGAACCACAGCCCUGCUCAAGCUUACUUCUAAAUUUGGGGCAUUUAAUCUAAAUUUCUUUUAUAUUACCAUGAACUUUUGAUUUCUUUGUACUUUCCCAUUAUUGGAGAUAGGGAAAGUAUUUCUGCUUUAAAAAUGUCAGUGAAGCCUCUUCACUAUUUUUGACAUCCUGUUAAUCAUGGGAAAAGAUCACCGCACAGAUUCACAGGACUAUCUUUUUUUCAGUCCAGGAAGAACAAAAGGUAGCACAUGAUAGCUCUGCCCUCAUUCAUGAAUUUAAGCCUGUCUUCCUACCAUCAUACUACAAUAUCAAACCUAAAGGUUGGGUUUACAGUAGCUUUUUCCUGAGAGUAACACCUUCAAGGAUAAUACUAUGUUGUACCUCCCACAUGUGAUGUAUGAAAGACACUUCAAUCCUUUCAUAUGCUGUACUUCUUGUCUAGGUAUUCAGUGCUGUAGGACUACAGUAUCUGCAGACAAUGAAAGCAGAAACUUAGGAGAUUUGGUUCUAAGAAAGCACUACGGAAAAGUAGAAUCUUAGGACAUUAGAAGGGAUAUCUGGAAGUCAUCUGGUCCAACCUCUUGCUCAAAGCAGGAUCAACUUCAGAGUUAGAGUCGGUUGCUCAGGACUGUGCUUGGUCGAGUUUUGAGUAUCUCCAGAGGUGGAGGAGAUUCCACAGCCCUGUGGCAACCUGUUCCCAUUUUCCAGCAAGAGCUUCAUGGACACCCAGGAAUUUGGUAUUAAUUUAAGUGCAGCCUUCUCAGAUUUCUGCUAAUAGGAAGAAUGGUUCUUCUAUUGGAAGAACCAGUGAAAAGUUCUUGCUCAGAAAGACCAUGGGAAUGAAGUCAAUGGCAAAACUUUGUCUAAUUGCGACUGGACCAGGAUCUUGUCCCUGAAUUUCACUUGCCAGUGAUCUGCACUAUAAGCCUAAAUAAGUCACCUGACCUUCACUUUCCUCCAUACCAGGAGGUAUGAAGUGAAGAACUACAUAGCAUUAAAAAAUGAAUUAAAAUUACAUUCCAAAAAUUGAAGGAACAGAAAGUAAAUAACCAUUUAAGAAAAAAUAAUAACGCUUAUUGCCAGGAGCUAAGCUAAUGAAUAACUAGUGCAGCCUAGGAAGAAAUACCUCUUAUGGGCAAGUUAACCUAUUAAGUCCAUAGAAAUGUGGUUUUGUAGAUUUUUCUGAACACCUGACAUUCACCACACAUGGACAGAGAUUCCAGAUGAGUCUGACUUCUGGUCCAGCAACAGUCUGCUCUGGUAUGGCAAUUCCAUGAGCUGCAGUUUCUGCAAAGAUGUGCUCCUCCUUGCACCAUUGAAGCUCAGAGGAGUUAGUCCACUGGAGUGGAAAGACAGAUAUAAUCUAUUUUAAAAAGUUCAAAAUAGUAGCACGUGUGGCAGCCAUAAGAUUUACAGGGCCAAAAAUCUAUAAUCCAAACAUGAUAAAUGUGGUGGUUACAUUUUUGGGUAAGGAAACAAAGAAUAAAAAAUGAAAAAGACAAAAAUAUGCACAUCUGCUACCAAUGGUGUACUGUGGCUAGAAAAUGAGGCUAAAUAUACAUUUUAAAAGAGAAUAAUGAACCGGAACACUUUACUAAGGAUAGUGGUGCAGUCCCAGUCACUGGCAAAUAACAACUGUUUGCCUGAAAUAGAAACUGGUUCAGGAAAGUCCUAUGGCCUGCUUUAUGCAGGAAGUCAGAUUUAAAGCUCAGAAUGGUAAUUUCUGCUCAUUUCCAGUCUGUGAAUGUAUGUUAGAAAGCACAGUUACACUACCAAGUAACAUUUGUAGAAAACUAGGGAAACAAUUAACUCCAACUAAUUAACUAAACUCCUAAACCGGCCACCAAGUUCCUCCAAGAGAGAAAAUAUUCAGCAUGGAAGAGCCACAGGUGACUGGGAACUAUGGGAGAAAACUACUGUUCUUAGCUCUCUCAAAGUUUGGUUUGGUUUCCGUCCUCUCCUCUGAACUCCUACUAUAUUCAAGGCAGAUCAAAAAGCAUUUGUAGAAGGCAAUUCUCCCCUAUCUUCAAUACUUGUUUUAAAGUGGAACACCAUCAACUACAGAAAGAUCCUAGAUGUUUGGCUUGGAUCAAUCAUUAAGUUUUAAGUGGUUUAAAUCUACUCACCAGUUGGAAAGUACAGAUUAAAAAUUGGAGGAAAACACUCUUUCUAAGCUGGGGAAUAGACUCCCAGGACAAGUAUAGGAAGCCUUUUUAUUUGGUCUUUUAAAACAAAUUUGAAUUUUCACACUAGAAGUACUAAACAGAGUGCCUUGUGUUUGGCAGGCUUUGUUAGCUGCACUAAGCCCUCUCUAGUUUUAAUUUUAAGAUACAAAGUUAUUAUGGCUAUCCUCUGUGGAUAGUGGGUGGGAAGGCAAAAGGCUGGAUUUUUCUUAUCUCUCAAAAUGAUGUUGUGGUUAGAGCUGGAAUAUAAUAUGAUGCUUCUGAGCUUCACAAGCAAAAUAUCUACAUUGUUUUCAGAGUGCUUUCAAGAAACACCAUCGAUGGAAUAGUGCAACUGAAGAGAAGCAGAAAACAAAAUGGAAAAUUUAUUUCUGUUCUGGAGUUUUUGGUACUGCAACCAUGAUUUAUAGCUUCUAAAAAUUGUCAUCUUCUGGGCAAUAGCUAUUAAAUGAUGCCACAUAUAUUCAAUUAUACCCUUGGCAGAUCAGCAUUCCCAAAAGGCUCCUGUUCCAUGCUCCCUCUUUCCAGGAAAGGAAGAUUCACUGAGUUUUAAGAAUGUUAUUUCUAGGACAUUUUAAAUUACAAAUAUAAAAGUACAAUAAAUACCUUUUUCCAAGAAAACCAAUGCAAAAGAGAGAAGUGAAUUCUAAUUCUAAUGGCUUUAACUGGAAACCAAGUCUAGGCAACUGAUACAGAUCCAAGACAUAGUGAGAGUAUAAACCUCUAUGAUCUGCAAAGCAUCUCCCUUUCAUUUUUUUAAUUCCCAGCUCACAUUACACUCACUUUUGCUUCUGGAGGAAUAGGUUCCCAGCAGAGUGGUCUGUGUCACUUUGCCUACCAUGUGAGACAAGAAAAUCAUUACCUUCUAUGUUGACUGGAGUCUCACAGUGGGUGCUCAGAGGAGAGCACGAUAAAGUCUGAUCUCCUGCUCGGAUGGGACGUAGACAUUUAUCCAGAUUACUUUAUAAAGUGUGAUUCACAUAGGAACAACAUUUGAGCAUUAGUACCAGGAGCUGGAGUCAGUCAAGUAUUAAGAGACAAAAGACUAUCCACCUUACUCCUAGCCUUCUGCGCGGGAUUUGCGCAGGGGCAAAUCGACUGCAUAGCCAUGUGGCCGUGACAACAUCUGUGAUGCAACAUGUUACACUGAUCAGUGUUAAUGGGAGCCUGAGGCCACAUUAGUCCUCCCUAUAAAUCAACACCUAUUCUUUUAUACUUCUAUGUUAACAAUUUUUAUAAGAAUUAUGUGUCAUUGAAGACAAACAUCUAGAUAAUAAUAGAAAAGAGAGUAUCGCAAAAUAAUGGUAAAGUGUCUAAACAAGCACCAAAAGGAUGAGUUAUUUCCCAGGAACAUUGCUUGUGUCUAUUUAGUAAAAAGUUUUUAGCAAAACUGGUGUAUACAACAGACUUGUGAAUAUUGCGCUAUACAAAACUUGAUUCUGGCUCAGAUGAGCAUUUCUUAGUGCCAACAGAAACAGAGAUAAGGCCCAUAGCAGUAUUCCUGUUUGUGGACCGAUGUCACACUGAAGGGCUAGGAACCAUUCUAAGACAUUCCUGAAUGGAUUUCCUCCUGCAGCAGAAAAAUCAAGAAGAAGCAGGAAAAGGGAUAAAAUGUCCAGAUAUGGGCAACGUUGUUUAGUUUUGGAAGGAAUUCUUAUUUUGCCUUUCCCCCAAAAUAUAAACCUUUAAAGUAUUUCAAGAAUUUAUUGACUAUAUUUAAAUAUGAGUGGAUGAGCCAGAUGCCUGAAGGAAAAUGUUAAGCAUUUAAAUCUGUUUAAUAUCCUAUGCUCUGAGACUCAUUCUUUUGUCACGGCUCUUGCAAGGUACAGUAAAAGGAAAAGAUAACUGACCAUAGUCAAAUAAUAUGUUUCAAAGGUUUCAAAGUCUGAACAUCAGAGACUUUGAACAAUAAUAGCAACCAUAUUUUUAAGCACAACCCAUUCUCUUAGCCUAUAAAAAAUAUAAGCUUGCCACACAGGAAAUGAAACAUAAUUUACAAGCACAAAAGGACAAAUGCCACAAUGAAUAUCAUCAUCUCCAAGCAUGGAUUUAUUUUUUCAUUAUUAAGUGAAGAAAGAGUUGACUUUAUAUGUAGCAGUGUUUUUCUAGCUGUGAUUUUAGGGCUAAAAGUAAUAUAAGGUUUGUAGGGCAAGGAAAUACAGACAAGUUUUCAGGCAUCUGGGAUGUGAAGAAGGACAUGUGUGCCCAAAAGUUUAUCUAUUUCUUCCAGUUCCAUUUCUUGGUCUAAUUAAAGGUAUUACCAACCCCUUCAAACUUUUUGUUGUAGACUUCAAAUGCACUUUUAAGUGUCGUAAAUUAGAAAGUAUAGGCUUGCCUAUCCAGAAAGUUAAUCUGGACUGGGGUAGGAUGUGCAAAAUGGGUGGAAUGGCCACCCAAUUCAAAAUUAGGCAAACUCAGUGCAUAUAGCAGCAUCUACAAAAGAAAAUAGUUGGACAUAAUUAAUCAAGAAUAAUUAUUUAAGAAUAAAUUCCUGUAUAUAUAAGUAAGUUCUGCAUCAUGAUCUUAGAGCUGACCGAAGUCUUUCUAGUACUUUAAUGAAAUAAAAUCUGAUUGCACUGAUUAUACAUACGACAUGAUUGUGAUAUUAAAACAUACCAAAAAAAAACCCAAACAAAAGUCCUCAAUUACAGCAUCUGCUGUUUGGUGAAAUUCACCAUCUUCAUACUUGGAACACUAACAAACUGUGAUUUGGCAGGUUAGUUUACGUCUGUUAAUAUUUACAUUUUCUUAGUUCAAAUAUUUUGACAUUUCAAUGACAAAGUUGUGAUAUCUGUUAUUUUAGAAUGGAGUUAUUUUUUCUUGCCACAAGUUUCCUGGUUAUGCUGAGUUUGAUGUCAUUUGUGGCAACUCUGCUAUGCUACAAAAGCUGGCUAAUAAGUGUGGCUAUUUAAUCCUGAUUUUGAUCACAAAUACAAUUUUUUAUUAGAAAGUGGGACACCAGCUGGUUGCAGUGUUGCUCCUGUUUCAUGAAAACCAAAUGCAUUUCUACAGUAAAAUGCAGCCUGCACUAUUUAAGAAGAAAAAAAUUUCCCGCAUGUCUAGUAAUACAUCUUUUUCCCUAUGAAUAGUUCUAUCUAGCUGGUCAUUAGCAGGCAACCACUGCUAGGGAGCUGUGGUAAACAAGGUGAUUUAUCUUUGGACUUCUGCUGCCAAGCUUUUGGACAUAAUCACUUUUAGGAGGAGGACAAGGAAAGAUGUGCAAAGCUGUGUUUAUUCAUUCAUUCCAAAGAGCACAUUGUGAACCAAAGAGGACAAGUAGGUCAUCCCUAAAGAGACAUCUAUAUGAGGCAAGCAAGCAAGGCAGUUUGCUAGUUCUGGAAAGAAGGAAAAUUAGUGAAAUAGCUAUUUAGUAAAAUAGUGAUUGUUUAACCACUGUUUUGCUUUUUCACAUCUUCCCUCCUUUCUACUCUCACUUAUUACCUUCUCUGUUGGACACACAGGAUAAUGUCUCCUCUUACAUAACCAGGGUAGUAAGUAUACUGUCCUAAGCCAGGACAUGGCCCACAAGAAGAAAUCAGCUUUGCCACCUGUGAAUGGCGUAACUCAGAUUUUUACUAUCGUGUCAGAAAUCAGAUUGCUAAUGAGCUGAGAGAGAAACUGUGGCUUCUGGAUUUGAUCUUUAAAUAAAAAAGAACAAAAGGGGAAAGCUCUUCUAAAUAAAUAGGAAAGUUUUCACUUUCACUGAUCGGACCUGCAUCUGUUUUUUGGAGACAAUUUUUAUGCUAAUAGCUAAGAUGCUAAGUGUAACUGCUCUCAGGAAAUAUUGCAAUGCAUGGGGUCAUACUAUGUGGACUUUCUUAGUGAAAAACAGCUUUUUACUAUCAUCAGUGUUUAUUGUUGUAAAACAAUAGUGGAAGUUGUUAUAUUGUUAACAUGGAUUGUGCCAAGUCUUCAGACUGAACUUGCACAUUUUUACAAUAAACACUGAGGAAAAGAAAUGAAUUAUCAUAUCUCCAUACAAAUACUAGCCCUUACUUAUUACCUCAAGGCAGCAGUAUCAACACUAGCUUCUGCAGGCAGAUGCACCAACUCCCUUAGCACUACUUGCUAGCCUGAGCUCAGGAUCCGUUCAUGCCUCUGAUUCAUGGCACAGAACCUGAACAAACUCAAGGUGUCUGCCUGAAAAGCUUCAUGAAUGCAUGCUUUUUGGGGAACAAUUUCACCUUAUCUGGGAUCUUAUUUUUAAAGUCUUAGACACAUUUCACAAUUGCUGCCUUAUUAUCGUUAAACCCAUCUGUGAGCAUGCAUUUAAUUUUGUGUGAGUUCUACCUUUCAUUGACCACAAAUGAAAUGAGAAUGGAUAACAGAGUUGGUCGACUCCCUUUAAGUGGAAACUUGCUGUAAGAUGGCCAAUGGCAUUUAAAAAAAGAACAAUUUUACUAUUGGCUUGUCAGCGUUAUGACUUCUGUACCAUGAACUUCAAGUGCUGAACUACAGCUCAUUAAAGGCAAUAGAAGUGUAAUUUCUAUGUCAAGCCUAACCUGAGGAGUUAAUCCAAGAGGUAGAGGGAGUGAAUGGUACCCUUGAUAAGCAAAAAUGUUAGUCUAAACAACUGUCCAGAUUCCAGCGUGCUAUAAUUCAGUUGUCUUGCUUAAUUUCUCAACAGUUGCAGCAUGGACAUCCAUACAAAACUGGCUGUAGUUUUGCUCUGGAUUAAAAGGAGGAUUAAAUUCAAUGGGACUUGAACUAGAUCAAAAAUGAGUGUUUUUGAAAUCACAUCUUAUUAGGUUAUAAUCUCUUUUAUCUUGAUGUAUUUUUUUAUAACUUUGGAAAAAUGAGCAAAUUCUCAUAUAUUCAUUAUAAAAGGUAAGUCAGAACCCCUUGAAGUCGAAGGAUUUUUUGGUAUUGAAUUUAAGUCUUGGAGCAGACUUAAAGAAAGAAAAACUCCAAUUUAAAUCUAAAUAAAAUGCUAAAACUCAUAAGCCAAUAUUAGCCUAUAAAAAUGCAACCAUUUUCUUUUUCAGAUUCACUAUGUAGAUGAUCUGAUGACUAUAGUCAGUGCUUCAUCUGUCCUGUGAUGUGUCUGCUUUUGCCAAGCUGGUUAUCUUACAUCACAUCUCACCUAACAAGCACUGCCACCAAAAGAUGACACAGAUACAAGUUUGCAAUAAAUCUGAUAGUCAAUUGAUAAAAGUUAGAGGAAAAGCUGAAAGAUGGUGUGCUGUGGAGAAGCAAACAUUAGUAGCAGCUUACACUCGGAUCACUUAAAGUCGAUAAUCAGCAAAGUUGCUUUAUUUUUGAAAGGAAAGGGGAAGGGAAAACUCCUGUUAUAGCCAGGAUCUUACAUGUUCCCAAAGACAUACUGAUACUUUUUACUAAGGAAUCUGGGACCUCACCGUCUAGUAUAUUGUGUAUGUGAAACACAUUAAAUGACUAAUCUUCAGUAGUGUCAAAUCUGAGAAGGUAUGAGGUUUGUUUUAGUUUGCUGAUUUUCUGUUAUAAGCCACUUGUACCAGGUUUCAUUUUGUAAGGUUUAGGGGAUUCAGACUCUUAAACAAAUAAAAUCUUUUGUAUUCAAUGAAAAAGUGUGACAAUCUCAUAAUAAGAGCAAAUAGCUUAUGGGCUACCUCAGAGACUGAAUAUCUAAGACUUCCACUCCUUUAAAUUGUCUACAGAUCAAAAAAUCCCUGCAAUCUUUGGCUUAAAUCAACUAUAUUUCCAUUAGCCUGAGUUCCAAAUUAAAUUUAGCAUAGAAAACAUGAGAUUCCAGUUAUGGUUUUAAAUGUUUUAGGAAACUUGAGAAGAUGCAACUGAGACUGAUUCUUAAAUUCUUUAAUACUGUUGUUUCCGUUCAAGCAUAGGAAGCAUAAAUACAACAACAUUUUGAACGUGUCCAUAGUGUUGGUCAAACAUUUACUGUAUAGAACACAUUAUGUUUUACACAAGAUUUUGUCUGUAUGUAUUUAUCUUCGUGUACUUAUGUAUCUGCAAAGUGUUCUCACAAAUCUAAAAAUACAUGGUAUUGCAAGCAGUUUUAUUAAAUGGAAAUUGGGCUUGAAUGCCUCUGUAAACUCCAUAUAUAGACUAGGUUCACUGCUAGUUCAUUAAACUUCCUGUAAAUAUGGAUCAAGAACAAACUAACUUUUAUAAUUCAUACCUUAUGAUUAUCAUUCAAAAUUUGGAUAUUGUAAAGAGUUCCUGGGCAGCUGGAGGAUGACUGCGACAGUGAGAUCUUCCUUUCUCACCUCCAAAAUCACUAGUUGGACAGCAAGAGGGUGUCUCGCAAAAAGACUUUUCUGGAGUUUUUAGAGCUAACUGCUUUGAUUCCUUGCCUUGGACUCUGUUUCUCAUUGCUUGGCAUUGGUCUUUAGUUUCUGGGUCUUUGCAUCCUGAUUUCUGGUAUCCUCGCCCUAGUGGCUAUUCCCAGCUUCUAUGCUCCAGCUUUGCCUUCUUGGUGUCUGAUUAGAUGGUAUUUAAUAUUCUACAUGAUGAGAUU